Non-coding RNA from Lojkania enalia, 83 nucleotides. The record is from the annotation of a GenBank genome assembly. NCBI's taxonomy places the organism in Eukaryota, Fungi, Ascomycota, Dothideomycetes, Pleosporales.
GCUCCUUUAGCUCAGUUGGUAGAGCGCAGCACUAGUAUCUCUGCGAGAUGCUGAGGUCAUCAGUUCGACUCUGAUAGGGAGCA